Molecule: ribosomal RNA, 589 nt
Filed under: uncultured Burkholderia sp.
Lineage: Bacteria; Pseudomonadati; Pseudomonadota; Betaproteobacteria; Burkholderiales; Burkholderiaceae
Description: bacterial SSU rRNA
Rfam family: Bacterial small subunit ribosomal RNA
Source: RNAcentral
UCGGGUUGUAAAGCACUUUUGUCCGGAAAGAAAACUUCGGCCCUAAUACGGCGGGAGGAUGACGGUACCGGAAGAAUAAGCACCGGCUAACUACGUGCCAGCAGCGCGGUAAUCGUAGGGUGCGAGCGUUAAUCGGAAUUACUGGGCGUAAAGCGUGCGCAGGCGGUUCGUUAAGACAGAUGUGAAAUCCCCGGGCUUAACCUGGGAACUGCAUUUGUGACUGGCGAGCUAGAGUAUGGCAGAGGGGGGUAGAAUUCCACGUGUAGCAGUGAAAUGCGUAGAGAUGUGGAGGAAUACCGAUGGCGAAGGCAGCCCCCUGGGCCAAUACUGACGCUCAUGCACGAAAGCGUGGGGAGCAAACAGGAUUAGAUACCCUGGUAGUCCACGCCCUAAACGAUGUCAACUAGUUGUUGGGGAUUCAUUUCCUUAGUAACGUAGCUAACGCGUGAAGUUGACCGCCUGGGGAGUACGGUCGCAAGAUUAAAACUCAAAGGAAUUGACGGGGACCCGCACAAGCGGUGGAUGAUGUGGAUUAAUUCGAUGCAACGCGAAAAACCUUACCUACCCUUGACAUGGUCGGAACCUGCUG